AUGGAAAAUUUUAUUAUUUAACACAAUAAAUCUGGAGGUAAAGGUUGGUUAAUUCAGUGCUUCAGGAACAUCAUCAGGAAGCCCUUUCUUUCUGGAUAUAAUUUUCAGCCUCUUCCUCAGUUUCAUCCUUAGCAACCCAGCAGGACAACUUUAAAAGGAAACAAAAUUAUUUACUGUCUCUAAACCAGGGAAGGUAGAAAAAUACAUUCAGAAGAAUGGUAUACAGUAUAAACUGCUGCUUUGGUUCAUGCUUUAUAUUUGAAAAGAGAUGCUGUAUAUUUUUAGGGGAUCACGAUGGGGAAGCUAAUCACAUUUCUGCUGCCUCUUGAAAACAUCAUUAUGGUAUAGUUAUUUUGGGGGGGAGUUUAAAGUCUUAGUACUUUUGGAGAUUUUAUUUUAGGCUACUAUAAAUUGUUACUCAGUAACUUGUUUAGAAUUAUUUUACUGAGUCACUUAACAAAGGUGGGAUUAGAUCUUCUCCAUAAUAUAAGAAUAUUAACUCCUGUGCAAAGAGUAUGUAUAGAUUAGCCAUUGAUGAAAGGAACAACCGAGUUCAGUCCAUCUUGAAGAAAGAAUAAAAGUAGAAUUGAAUCAUCUCUGGAAAAAGCAAGAUGGCCUGUCAUUCUAGUACUUACUAUAUGUAAGAAUGUUUAAUAUUAGUAGGUAAUUGUAUAAUUAAAAUAUUCUAAUUUAGGGAUCUUCUAAUCAGUUUGUAAUAGCCAAACUACCAAAGUUCCAUUUAUCUUGCAUGUGAAGAACUUUUUAAGUAGAAAGCUCUGCCUUAACUUUCAUAAUGUUUAUAUAUAUUUAUGCUUUUCAUUUCUCUGCAAAGCUUUUCUUGUUAAUGUGAAACUUGGAAAAUAAUAGUAAUAAUUUGCAGUUCAGUAAAGAUUAUAGUAGUAUCUAAUUUUACAAUAUUCCUGAGACACUGGUAAUUUUCAGCCUCUCUUCAAGACUUUCAUACUACUUUUAACUGUCAUGGUUAUCAUUUGCAUGUUUCUUAUUUCCCUUGUUGAUUCUAAUUAUGCCCUCAGGAGUUAGCAUAGUAUAAAUUUAUUAUUUAAUGUUUUUAUUUGAGUAUCAUUGACAUAAAAUAUUAUAUUAGUUUCAGGUGUACAGCGUAGUGAUUGGAUAACUAUAUGUUUUCCUAUACUCAUCACAAGUGUUAGCUACCAUCUGUCACCAUAUAACCUUAUUACAGUACCAUUGAAUAAAUUCCCUAUGCUGUACCUUUUUUUAAUUUAAAAAAUUUAAAAAUUUUUAAAUUUAGUUUAUUUAUUUAUUUUUUUUUAUGAGAGAGAGAGAGCAUGAGAGGGGGGAGGGUCAGAGGGAGAAGCAGAGCCAGAUGAGGGACUCAAUCCUGGGUCUCUAGGAUCAUGACCUGAGCCUAAGGCAGUUGCUUAACCAACUGAGCUACCCAGGUGCCCUAUGCUGUACCUUUUAUUCCCAUGACUUAUUUAUUCCAUAAGUGGAAGCCUGUAAGCAUAUUAUAAAUUUAUUAUGUUUUCUAUAGGACAUCUCAUCAGAUAUUUGAAGGUGAUUAAACAUUUUUUAGGGGUAGAAACUGUCAUUUGUGUUUCCAGGACUCAGUUGGCCAUUAUAUUUGUUGAUUGACUUGAUUGAGAACUUAAUGUGUAUCAAUGUUUCAUUGUCUUCCAUUAAUUUGUAUAAUGGAGGGAAUCUUUUGUUGUUCUUAGAUUUGUGGUCUGUAAAAGUAUAAAGUUAUAUAUAUGUUUCCAUAAUCAUUUUACUUGGGCCUGCAUAAAUCAAGUAUUUUUUUUUAAACUGUAAUAAAUUAAUCUUGUAAACCCAUUGUUAGUAACUUGAAAAAACGAAUAUUGUAUGAGAUGAAGCACUUCUUUUUAUUGCUAAUUUCAGGUUACACUGGGAAACCCCUAUGUGAAAGUAUAGGUCUAUUACCUGUCUUUGUUCUGUCUGGAGUGAUUUAUUGAUACUGUAAAACAAAGUUUAUCAGUAAGACUGUAAGUUUCUGUUGGAUUCUGGGGAUCUUGCCCUUGACUUUGAUACUGGUAUUGUUGGCAGCAUUAUCAUUGUUAUUAGUCAUUAUCCCCUGAUGUCUGCAUUUGUAUGGCAGAAUAAAUAAAGCCAUUAUACAGGUGUAAUUCCAGGAUGACUUAGCAUACAGCUUUCUGUCAAUCUGUUGGACUUUUAUUUAGAAAAAAUUUUUUUAAAGACUUUGGGUGUUAUGGUUCUAUGUCUCUCUGCUUAUGGCCUUUUUUUUUUUUUUAAAAGAUUUUAUUUAUUUAUUCAUGAGAGACAGAGAGAGAGAGAGAGGCAGAGGGAGAAGCAGGCCCCCAAGGAGCAGGGAGCCCGAUGUGGGACUCGAUCCCAGGACCCCGGGAUCAUGACCUGAGCCGAAGGCAGACGCUUAACCAUCUGAGCCACCCAGGCGCCCUGCUUAUGGCCUUUUUAUGUACAAUUUUUUUUGGUGGUAAAGUUGUGUUUUAUCAUGAAUGAUUGAUUAAAAUGAAUGAUUCCAUUUCCCAUCCACAAAGUUAUUCAUAAUAUGAAUUCAUAUUCAAAGUUAUUCAUAAGUUAUUAAUGUUUUAGGUUAUGCCAUUCUUCUCUUAUAGCAGUAAUGAAAAUGUCCCUCAGGUUCUUGAAUGUUCUCAGCUUUAGAAAACAUUUAGUAUCAUUCCUUUAAUUUUAGUACUGAAUAAGCUGAGGCAUAGAAAUCAUAAUUGGCAAGGAAAAGACGGUUACUGGGUUUUCUGUUUAGUCCAUUGUUCUUUGCAUUUUACCAAAUCGUAGUCAUUUUCCCAAUAUAUGCAUUAGGGAAACAUUGCAUUUUGAAUUGAUGCCCUUUCAGAAAAGCAGCAGAUUUGUUCUUUAUUUUCACAUUAUGGAUUUUUAGUUUGAAUACAGGUUACCUAGUUACCCCGUUAUUAAGUAUUCUAUCCUUUAUUGUCAUGACCUCUUUUGAAGUAAUAGUAAUGUUUCCUCAUAUGAAGAAUAGAGUACUAGAAAUUUAAUGUACUUGUUCAAGGUCACAGUGUAUGUGUUGAAUCAAGAGUACUCAAAUCAGUUGUAGCUCUUUGGCUCUUUUGUCACCCUUUGUGUUGUUAAUAUAACAUAAUUCAUGUGAAUCAUCUAACUAGUUCUCAAGUGUGGGGACACACAAAUAUGUACAUUAUUUAUAUUUGGCCUAUUAUAAUUUUUGUAAAUUGAAAAUCUGAUCUUGUUUCUUCCAGGUUUAAAACCUUUUAAUGACUUCUCUGCAUAAUGAAACCUAAAGAACUUUCUUUGCUUUUUAAUCUCUAGUUCUGGCAUCUUUUUGCAGUUCAUUGAACAUGUCCCUCUUGUCUACGUAUUUGUACAUAUAUUUGUCCCUCUAAAAACCUCCUCCUUGUAGGUCUCUCACCACUCCAAAUUCUUUUCAAGAUUCAGAUCUUUAUCUGGAAAACUUUAAAACAAAAUUUAUCUGACUAAAUUUAAAGAUCCACUUGCCUUUAUUUGAUGAUUUAUUGAUUUAUUUAUUACUUUUGCAGGAUUUCUCUGGUGCUUAGCAUUCAGUUCAAUAUUAACUAUUGGUGAAAUAUACAGGCAUUCAUGAGGCCCUUUAAGAAUGUAGCAGCCCUGGGACGCCUGGGUGGCUCAGUUGUUAAGCGUCUGCCUCCAGCUCAGAUCAUGAUCCCAGCGUCCUGGGAUCGAGCCCCGCAUCAGGCUCCCUGCUCAGCGGGAAGCCUGCUUCUCCCUCUGCCACUCCUGCUUGUGUUCCCGAUCUCGCUGUCUCUCUGUCAAAUAAAUAAAUACAAACCUUAAAAAAAAAGAAAAAGAAUGUAGCAGCCUUUUAAGAAUGGGUAUCUAGCUGGCUCAGCUGGUGGAGUGUAGGACUCUUGAUCUCUGGGUUGUGAGUUUGAUCUCCACGUUGGGUGUAGAGAUUACUUAAAAAUAAAAUCUUAAAUGUAGCAGCCAGCACAUAUUUGAUCCUUAUUGAAAUUAUGCAGGCUGUAGGUCAGCCUUCUGGGCUAAAGGUGAACAUUUUCCUUCUUCUAUCCUUCAUCGUUUCCCCCCUGACCAAUUUUUGGUCCUUAAAUCUUUAAGGUUGUUGAAGGGCAAAAGGCUCAUCUUCUGUAACUUCUUCAAGCUGACAGGGAUCAUAGAAAUGUUCUUACCUAUGGACUGAAAUUGGUUACUGUCUGUCUCUACAAGUAACCACCAUGGAAGGCCAUUGUUAUAGAAUUCAGCGUGGACAUUGGGGUGAAUUUGUUUUGAGUAGUAAGGAUCAUCUGUUGGCUGGGUGAAGGAGUCAGAAACUGCUUGCAUGUAUCUUGAUAAUAGAACAAAACGAAAGUGACAACACUUUAGGAUUAAUAUAAUAAAAAUAAGAAGUGUGAUAGGAAGACUCUUUAAGGUACACCAUAGUCUACCUCCCAAUUAAAAACUAAUCAUUCGAAGAACUAAGAGUUAGACAUUGCCUUAAUUUGCAUGUGUAUGAGCUAAAAAUUUGGAUUACAUUAGCAGAGUCAUCUGGGAUACAUAUACAACAUUUAGUCUUAAUAUUAGCAUAAUAACUUCCUUCCUGAUUUGCAAUCAGAAUAUCAAGGGCCAUUAGGUUUUGGAGUGCCACUUUUCAAAUUUGUGGGUGACUUCAUGUUGGGUUUCGUUAAAGGUGGCUUCUGUAUGCUUGGCUAACGCUUCUGUUUGUAAUUUUUACAUCAAGAGAGGUGGCUCCCAGGACAAGGAAUAAAACCAUUAUGAAGCUUUCUUUGCCUGAUGUCUAGCCUUAACACUAUCCUAAUUAUGAGGAAUUGCUGGCAAGUAGAAGAUGACUUGUCUUGAGGAGAUUAGGGCAUCCUCAUGUGGAUUCUCCAAUCUAAUUAAAAGGAAAGUAGGGCACCACUAAGCACCUGGGUGUCUUAGUCUGUUAAGCAUCUGUCUGUUGAUGUUGGCUCAGGUCAUGAUCUCAGGGUCCUGGGAUGGAGCUGUAUUGGGUUCCACACUCAGUGGGGAGUUUGCUUGAGGACUCUCUCUCUCUCUCUCUCUCUCUCUGCCCCUCCCCCUGCUCGCACACUCGCUCUCUUUCUCUCCUUCUGUCUUUAAAAAUAAAUAAAUAAAUCUUUUUAAAAAAAAGGAAAGUGGGGCUAUCAAUUUUCUGUACAAGUUCAUAGCUAAUCCCAUGGAGUUGGGUACGCUCUGACUUUUAAGGAGCAUUUUUGUUAUCCCAGCCACAUAGUCUGUCAAGGCGAUAGUUAAGUUACACAGUUGUUGGGGAGUCCACAAAAUAGAAUGGGUUUCAGCAGCUGCUUGGGACUAUUCCUUAGAGUCCCCAUCCUGAAGCACACUAGCCAGACAAUUGGCUCCAGUUAUCAUAGCCAUUAAUCUGGGAAACGAAUGAUGGCGAAAACCCCACAUGCAACAAGAGUCCGGCAAUAUUCAUCCAGGCCUGUCAAGAUAUGUUUCAGAUCUGGCACACAAAAGAAGCAGCAAAAAAAGAGAAGACAAGUGACUCGGAAAAACAGAGAGACUCAGGUACAGGAUGUUGGCAGCAACCUGUUUACAAGAGAGACAAAGGGAGGGUGCACAUAGCGAACAGGAGAGGACACAGGUGAGGUUGUAGAUUAACAAUAGAAGGGCUUGAGGCAGCUGAGCUGAUGGUGGGUUGAGGGGUAGAGGGUAAGGAGAGGGGUGUCCUUAGGCCCCCUAGAGGACUAUAGGACAAAUCAGUGUUUUGGUAUAGGGCCAUAAAGGCCUGACCUUUUGAGAUUUUGGUCCAUUUUCCUUGAUGCUUACAAAAAAAAAAGUCUAAUUGCUAAAUAGUAUUGAAGCUUAAGAACCCAUUAAUGGACCUUUUUUUUUAAAAUCAUCCUCUAUACUACAUCAAAAACUAAUGAUGUAAUGUGUGGUGAUUAACAUAACAUAAUAAUAAAAAAAUAAAUAAAUAAAAAUAAAAUCAGCCUCCAGAGACUAUUGAGGCCAGGCAUUAUUAUAGAAGAAGAUGAGGCACUUCUUUAAAUCCUGUUGUCCAAAUUGAUUUCAGUAUGUUAGGAGACAACCAAAGAAAUCCUUUGGGAUUGAGGAAGUUGAUCCCAUAGUCAAUUCAUACAAAAUGAGGAGAGUACAUUAACUACCUAGGAGUCCAUUACCAAAAUCCCCCUUGGCUUUGAAUGGCAUCCCAUCAGGAAUAUUGCCAAAGGUUCCUGGGGUUCACGGUGGUGGGAGGCAUUUUUCUUUCUUAACUGGUUUGGUACCUUUGUACUACCUAAGAAGGGAUGUUGACAUCCCUUUGCUUCCCCAUUGCAUUCUAGACUACAACAGAUGCUGGUAAAUGGACUGAAUCGCUGCAGGGAUUGGGGCUGCCUCUUUCCAUUUUGGGUGAGCCAAUAUAUUUGGCAACCAAUAGUAAUACCAUUUGAAAGCCUCUGGAUAUAGUAUUAGAAAUAAGGUAUGGAACCCCUAUCUAAUCCAAGCAACUUGUCGUGAGCUCAAUCCAUGAUCCAGUCCCAAGGGAAGGUCCCCCAUCAAGUGAGUUCCCCAACUGCAUAAUAGCUCUUGUCUCUUUCAGGAAGUACACGGUCAGACAUAACUUGGAUUUUAUGCUCAUUGAGGAUCACACCUGGUUAUUUAGGAGGAAACCUUACACGGGAGUCUUGGGAUUGGGGACCAUCCUAACGACAAAUGUUGCUGUCCUAUGCCUGACAAGAAUAUAUGCAUUAGGGGCACCUGGGUGGCUCAGUCGUUAAGCGUCUGCCUUCGGCUCGGGUCAUGAUCCCAGGGUCCUGGGAUCGAGUCCCCACAUCGGGCUCCCUGCUCGGCGGGGGGCCUGCUUCUCCCUCUCCCACUCCUGCUUGUGUUCCUGCUCUCGCUAUCUCUCUCUCUGUCAAAUAAAUAAAUAAAAUCUUUAAAAAAAAAAAAAAGAAUAUAUGCAUUAAAAGAACAGGGAAAAUUAGGAGAGUCUGAUUUCUGAGCCCAAUGCCAUUAUGACCAAGGUAUUAGUAUCAAGCUGGGUGGCAGUGGACCAUCCCUGCCCAUAGUGUAGCCACCAUGGGCAAGAGGCUCUCUCCUGAACACUUGAGUAAGACAUGUUCUGAAGACAUGUGCUGAAGGGUCAUAGUAUUCAGGACAUCUCUGAAGAAGGAAAAAGAACAGGGAUGAAACAAAGACUGGGGUAAAGAUGACUUACCAAGUCGCAUCGAGGCUCUUGAUUUAUUCCGUACUCCCCAUACAGGGCCACCAAAAAUGUUGUGGGAUCUUGGAGCGCAACAGCCAAGACAGAAUUCUUGAGACAUUUUACAGUGCAGCUUAGUAAGUUUAUUUAAGUAGCAUGGGGGCGGAAAGGGCUGCACUUGCCCUCUAUGAAGCUGGUGGUUAUAUGCUCAGUGCUCGAGGGGGGAGGGGACAUGCAGGGAGCAUUAGAUCAUAAAUAUCUUUUUCGAGUUUCUACUUGUAAAACUACUUCUGCAAGAUUUCUCUGGUGCUUAUCAUUCAUUUCGAUAUUAACUAUUGGUGAAAUAUACAGGCAGUCACGAGACCCUUUAAGAAUGUAGCAACCAGCACUUACUUGAUCCUUAUCGAAAUUAUGCAAGCUAUAGGUCAGCCUUCUGGGUUAAAGGUGAACAUUUUGUGGUAACUUCAAAACUUAGCUGCUUCUUCCAGAAAGCUCCCUCUUUACCUCUAAUAAAUUCGCUUCUGUUGUACUAUAAUUUGUCUGUGUUAUCUGUAUUAGACUGAACUCCUUGAGGCCUGUGACUAUUUCAUAUCCAGUUCUGCUUGUCUGUAGUACAUAGAUCGGCUUAUUUAAUGCUGUUGAAGCUAACUGAAUGUCUGUAGCUUAGGGAAUAAGUAUUACUUGAAUUGGAAGCUAAAUUUUAAGAAAGGGAUGCUUCAGGAAUUUUAGGAAAAUGAAGUUAGUUUUAAAGCAUUAAUCAAUUUUUAAAUCAUUAAUCCAAAAUGUUGAGAUUUUUUUUAUAGAAGGACUGUUAGAUAAUUUAAAAUGAUUCUGAUUUCUUUGUAUUGAAUGUUCUGGGAAAAUAUGGAAAAGAUUUUGAUCCAUAACUUAAUCCUUUUAAAAAUAGAGUUAAUUAUUAGAACAUUCUAGAACAUUACUUUAUUCCCAUGCUGAUGUCCUCUUACCACCUUAUUUAUUUAUUGUCAGGUAAGAAAGAGAAAGGGGAGGAGUAGGGAGGAGGAGAGGGAGAGUUGGGAAAGGGGGAAGGAAGAGGGGUAGUAGUGUGUGUGUGUGGGGGGGGUUAUUUUAUUCUUCUGUGUGCAGACUUAUUUAAUCUCUCUGCUUUUUAAUAUGGAUACAUAGCUCUUGUCUCCAGUAUUCUCUGAGUUCUUUGGCGAUUCUGCAAAUAAACUUAAUUUGCUUCUUAUUUCUUCCUUCCCUUCCUCCUUCUCUGGUGUUCUUGUUCAGGCAUUAGUAUUUCUGUUACUUUAAGGACUUCAAUAUAUUAUGGGUAUUUUUCACCAAAAAUACUGUUCUUAAGAGUUUAUUGUCACUUUAGUGCAAGGAACAGAAAUAAACUUUAAAUCUUUUGUGUUGAAGCAGAAGUUAAUAAUGGUCAGCAUAUGUUUAGUAUAAAAGUUGUAUAAAUUGAGGUGUUCAGUUCCUUUACAUUAGAAAACAACAGUAUAAUUAAAAUGGGGAAGAAUUGGUGCAUCUGGAAGGUGCUCAGAGAGUGGGAAAAACAGCACCUACAUUGUAAGCUCCAUAAGAGAAUGGGUUUGGCCUUUCUUCCCGUGGACGCCGCUGAGUAAGCAUCGUUAAAAGUCUCCCCUCCCACCAUCGUUAUGUGUAAGUCAGAGUCUCCCAAAGAGCCUGAACAGCUGCGGAAGCUCUUCAUCGGAGGUUUGAGCUUUGAAACAACUGAUGAGAGUCUGAGGAGCCAUUUUGAGCAAUGGGGAACGUGUACUGACUGUGUGAUAAUGACAGAUCCAAACACCAAGGGCUCCAGAGGCUUUGGGUUUGUCACGUAUGCCACUGUGGAGGAGGUGGAUGCAGCCAUGAACACAAGGCCACACAAGGUGGAUGGAAGAGUUGUGGAACCAGAGGGCUGUCUCAAGAGAAGAUUCUCAAAAACCUGGUGCCCACUUAACUGUGAAAAAGAUUUUUGUUGGUGGCAUUAAAGAAGACACUGAAGAACAUCAUCUAAGAGAUUAUUUUGAACAGUAUGGGAAAAUUGAAGUGAUCGAGAUCAUGACUGACCGAGGCAGUGGCAAAAAGAGGUUUUGCUUUUGUAACAUUUGAUGACCAUGACUCUGUAGACAAGACUGUCAUUCAGAAAUACCAUACUGUGAAUAGCCACAACUGUGAAGUAAGGAAAGCCCUAUCUAAGCAAGAGAUGGCUAGUGCUCCAUCCAGCCAAAGAGGUCGAAGUGGUUCUGGAAACUUUGGUGGUGGUCGUAGAGGUGGUUUUGGUGGGAAUGACAGCUUUGGUCGUGGAGGGAACUUCCGUGGUCGAGAUGGCUUUGGUGGCAGUCGAGGUGGUGGUGGAUAUGGUGGCAGUGGGGAUGGCUGUAACGGAUUUGGUAAUGAUGGAAGCAACUUUGGAGGUGGCGGAAGGUAUAAUGAUUUUGGCAAAUACAACAAUCAAUCCUCAAAUUUUGGACCCAUGAAAGGAAGAAAUUUUGGAGGCAGAAGCUCUGGCCCCUAUGGUGGUGGAGGCCAAUACUUUGCCAAACCAUGAAACCAAGGUGGCUGUGGCGGUUCCAGCAGCAGCAGGAGCUACGGCAGUGGCAGAAGGUUUUAAUUACUGCCAGGAAACAAAGCUUAGCAGGAGAGGAGAGCCCGAGAAGUGACAGGGAAGCUACAGGUUACAACAGAUUUGUGAACUCAGCCAAGCACAGUGGUGACAGGGCCUAGCUGCUACAAAGAAGACAUGUUUUAGACAAUACUCAUGUCUAUGGGCAAAAAACUCGAGGACUGCAUUUGUGACUAAUUGUAUAACAGGUUAUUUUAGUUUCUGUUCUGUGGAAAGUGUAAAGCAUUCCAACAAAGGGUUUUAAUGUAGAUUUUUUUUUUUUUGCACCCAUGUUGAUUGCUAAAUGUAAUAGUCUGAUCAUGACGCUGAGUAAAUGUGUCUUUAAAAAAAAAAGAGAAUGGGUUUGUAUCUUUUAUGUGUUUGUAUUUGCUCUCCAUUGUAUACACAGUGCCGAGCAUGGUGUAAGGUAAUGUGUGGUUAUCCAGUAGUUACUAGAAAGAAAUAUUUUGUAAUUUUUAUCACUGUAGAUAAAAGUGCAUCUAAGAAGUAUGUUGCCUUUUUGUUUGGCUUAGUAUUUUGAUCCUGCUUUCCUUCUCCAUUUCACCUUGAAAAGCCUGAUAUGAAAAUUAUCAAAAUAAAAACCUUUCUUCUGAUUUUGUCUUCUGUUUGUUUUUACUUUCCGUAGUUGUUACGUGUUUAUUUGGCUCACUAAAAUUGGGAGUUAAUUUAUGUUUUGACCAUUAUCCAAUACAUUGUUAGUACACAGAAAGCUUUUAUUUUUAAUAAACCUUGAGAUCAGCCUUACUAAUUUCAGCUGAUAAUUUAGACACACACCUAAAAAAAAAAAUUUAAAGUAAGUGUAAGUAAUAGACCAUACUAUCUUUUGUGAAGAUUAUUAUGUUCACAUCUCAUUCUUUUCAUUGAAUAGUAUAGAUGUAUUGUAUGAAAAAUAGAAAUUAUUUUUGUAUUGAAUAUGAACACUUCUUUUUUAAGCCGAGACCACAGGGUUAAGUUCUGAGGAGAUUUUAUCCUUAAUGGCAUCACAUAAGCAGUUAACUUCUUAAUAAUUAAGAAACAAUCCUGCAACCUUGGUUCAAUUUUGAAGUAUACUUUUGGUUGCUAAUUAAGCUACUUUUCACCAUUAAUUCAUAGUAGUUUAAAAGGAUUCCCUAUUAGGCAGUUUUUUCAAAGAAUUAUUAAUAGGGUAAAUGUAGACAAUUAUUUUAAAACUAAGGUGAUACCCACCAGAUGGUGCUAUUUUGCCUGUUUUGUUUGUGCAAAUACAGAGGAUAAAUGAAUACAGAACUUUUUAAAAAGUGUAUGGAAGAUCUAAUAUUUUUAGGGCAUAUUUUGGGGAUAGAGGAGCUCAGUGGAAAGGAUUCCAACAUAAACUUAUAUUCAGUACUGAAUUUUAUCUUAAAGGUAGAAGCUAUUGCUAGAGUUACAUGCCAGAGAAACUUCUAUUUAGUCUAAAAUUAAGUAGUAGAUAUUCUUAAGGUUGACAUAAGGUAAAUCCUAUUAACUGUCAUAAUUCCAUAGGCAUGAAAAAUAAAAUUAUUUAAAAGGAAUUGUAUAUUAGCAAAAUUUAUGUUUUAGUUUUCUUUACGUUUUCAAGUAAAUAAUAUUACUAUAUGAGUUACAUAAUUAUUUACAAAUUAAGGGAAACAUUUUAUUAUUUUAUGUAAUCUUGAAAUUUUCCAAAUAAAAGAAAAAUUAGGCUUGAAUUUAUUAUUUUUACAAAAGAAAAGGAUGACUCUUCUAAACUAAUUUGUAUAUUAGGAAGAAAGUAGUAUGUCGUAUACUGUUCAUUUAGAUGCUACAAUUGAAUGACUAUCCAUUAUAGUUAAAAAUGGCAAGCUAAUGAAAUACACUUCUUAGUGAAAUACGAAGGAUUCAGCCAGUAAUCCUAGGAUUUUAGUUUACUUAGUUUUUCUGGUCUUAUUAUCACUUCUGUUUUUGUGUCUGGCUAUGAGAUUGAAGCAUGAAAGUAUGUAGGUGCUAUUGUAACUAUUUGCCAAAGUCAUUGUUGUUAUGCCCACAAUGAUUUUAUUGGAAUGUGAAAUUAGAGAUUGAAGUUGCUUCUAUUUCUUUCAUUUUUUUCUCUGGAAAAGUACAUGUGUUACUUUGAAUUCAGUGAAUAAAACAUACAACUAUAGGCUAGUAAAUAUAGAUGGAUUUUCUUGUAUUCCUAAACUUUGUGAAUAGUUUAAUCAUAAUUAUGUUAACAUCAUCUCAUAAUACUUUUAAGAUUAUGAACCACCAUACUGCUUUAUCUUACAACAUGUCUUUUUUUUCUUUUACUUUGAUUUUUGGAAUCCUUCAGAUCUCUCCUGUAAGAGUAUAAAGUUCUUCCUGCUUUAGUUUCCCUUAUUCCACUUAGGACAGUGCUUUACAUCUAGCAGAUGAUCUGUAUAUAUUUAUUACAUAAGGAGUAAUUUUGGGGGCACCUGGCUGGCUUAGUUGGUAGAGCAUAUGACUUGAUCUUGGGGUCAUCAGUUUGAGUCCCACAUUGGGUACAGUAAAUAAAUAAAUAAAAAAUUUUUAAAAAAGAGUAACUUUGUUAUGCCAAGUAUUAGGAGUAUUGUAAUACAAAGGAAAUUAUGUAGAUAGGUUUUCCUCCUUGUGGGAAUUUCCAUAGUAACAAAUAGUAUUCUAUAUUCUGUUGUUUUUAUCUUAUACUUCCUUUCUAAGAUGGCUUUUUAUAGUUGGCUUAAAAAGGGUCAUCUCGCUGUAAUAUCUUAGGAUCAUAAUAGUGAUGCAUUCUAUCAGAGUGAAGUUAGGUAUAUUUUCAUUAAAAAAAAAAUCUUGUCAUCAGUCUGGGUUCAUGCGGAUCUUGAGAAUUACAGAUGAUUAGUGUGGUACAGAGCUUCUUGGGAGAGUUCAUUAAACUUUUUUCAGGGAAUUCAUGAAGGCAGAACUAUUUUCAAAAUUAUACUCAGGCAUCGUUUGUCCCUUUCAUUCUCAUUUUCUCUCGAAUAAAGUAGUCGUCCAGAGGUUACAUGAUAUGCGAUAUUGAUUAAAUGAGUAAGCAUGUGAAAAGCUAGCUGUCUUCUAUUAAGCCAGACAUUAAAGAGAUUUACAGUAAUUAUAAAACAAUGUUACUCUUCUCACUAAAUUUUUUUAGUUUAGCUUUAUUUUUCAUAAAAUGUUACUUAUGUUGACAUUUAAUGUUUCUAUUAUUUAAAAAAUAAUAAAUAUUUAAAAAUUUUGUUUUAGUUUUAAUGUGGUAAACAGGGAUGUAUAUGACAACUGUUUGAAGUACUCAGUACUUUUUUUAAAGUAUAAAGAGGUGCUGAGAUCAAAGCAUAUGAGAUCUUCUGAUCCUAAUUCUUUAUCUUCAUUUCACCAAUGAGGGUACUCAGAGGCUCAGAAGGGUUAAAUGGUUUAGUCAAGUAUACUCAGUCGUUUUUUGGCUUAGCUAAUACUUGCAUCACUGACUUUUGACCCCUGUGAUUUAUUUUAUUAACUGUUUCACUAUUUAGAUAUUCUCUGAACUCAUACCAACUCUGAGCUCCUUAAACUGUUUUCUAGUUUAAUAUUUUAACUUUACUAAGUACAUGAACAAAUUGGGAACAAUGACCUGAUUUUUCAGCUGCAAUAAAAUGGUGUCUUUUUUUUAAACACAUGAAAUAACAUUGCUAUAAAGUGUGAACUUUCUAGCAGGAAAAGGGAAUUGACAUAUAAAAUAGUGUAGCCUUAUUGUUAAGAAAAUAAAGUUGAGGGCAAAGAGGUAGCCUCUUGUAUUUUAGAGACUCUUUCACUAUCUUCUUUACUUUUUUUUUCUUCAUCAACAAUAAAACAUUGGUUACAAGCUUCCCUGGACAUUUAUGGCAGUCCACUCAUACAAGAACAAAGUAUUCUAUCCUUAGGUUUCAAAAAUUAAGAGGAUAAUAAUUCUGUAUUGCUCUUUUGUUAGCUGUGUAUUAUUUCUCAUGUUGAAACUCAUGAUUGAGAUAGUGCAUUCUAAAACAUUCCUUUUUUUCAUUGUUGAAGGAAUUUAAAAUCAUGUUAUGAGAUGGAUUGAAAACCUGGAUAGUUUUUACUUGGAAGAAAGAGAACCAGGACAUAUGUGAUAACCCUCCUUCAUUUGAUGAGCUUUCUUCAUGUGGAAAUGAGAUUAGAUCUAUUGAUUUA
Mirounga angustirostris (Northern elephant seal) is the source of this 13799-nucleotide RNA transcript. It is a transcript of the gene named heterogeneous nuclear ribonucleoprotein A1-like, with no coding region annotated. The record is from RefSeq and is a predicted model, not a curated record. The transcript has a single exon. NCBI's taxonomy places the organism in Eukaryota, Metazoa, Chordata, Mammalia, Carnivora, Phocidae.